UUUGUUUUUGUCUUUUUAGGGCUCUACCUUGUGCAUAUGGAAGUUCCCAGCCUAGAGGUCAAAUUGGGGCUACAGCUACCAGCCUACACCACAGCCACAGCAAUGUGGGAUCCAAGCCAUGUCUGUGACCUACACCACAGCUCAGAGCAAUGCCGGAUCCUCAACCCACUGAGCAAGGCAAGGGAUUGAACCCACAUCCUCAUGGAUACUAGUCAGUUGGUCCUGGACAAGCAGACUGAAAUAGAAGGAAAAGUAUAAAGUGAAAAAGAACCCCUUCCCUUUCCAGAAGGGUGAGGCCUGUUAUGUUUGGAGAAGCAGAACAAGUAACUGCCCUUGGUAUGCCUCAUCCAGAGAGUAUUGUACUCUUGGCUGUGGAUGUGGCCUUGAAAGAGAAAAGCAAACUCUAAGACACUGCUGCUGUCAUCUUCCUUGACUCUAAUCGGAUCAUGAGCGACCUAACACAGGCUCUUUGUUGAGAGAAGAAAAGCACUUCCAUGGGUAUUAUUUUGAAUUCUUUUCCAAAAAUUCCAUUGUGAAUUAGCUGUUUGUUAUGCAGAAAGCAUUUUACCACAAACUGUAUUACAAUUUAAUGUACAUAAUUAUAGUUCCACUUUUUGUCAAGGUUUCAACUUCAAUCAACCACCCAGUUUAACAUUCUUUUUGUGGCAAAACAUUCUAAUUUGGAAGAAGAGGGCUAUCUUCCUGUUCCCGGCAGAUUACUUACUGGCCUGGGGAACAAUGACUGGUACAGAGAAGGUGAGCAGACGAUAUUAUUCUAUAGAUCAUCCCAUUGUUCAUUCCUUCUUCUACCCAUGUCUCAGAAGCAUUAGUCCUGGAGCUAGUGCUCAUGGAUUUACAGAGGAUUCAGCUGGCCCAGUAAGGAGGUGGGGGUUCAGAAGAGGGUAGGCAACCCCAGACAACAGUAAUUUCUUGAUUUGCAGUAAAGAAAAUAAUUUCCUAGGUUUCUUUUUUAGUAAGAGAAAGUUGUUGUUUUCCAUAUUUACAUAAAAGUAAAUAAAUUCCUUUUGAAUCAUCUCGCAUCCUAGAUGCUGUUCAGAUGAGGAAUAUCGUGAGGUUAAGUGUCUUCCUAGAGAGUAGACUCCCUACUAUUUGUUUGCAAAAGGGGAGAAUACAGGGAUAUAAAGCAUUAAUUUUCUCUGAGACAUAGGAAGAGUAGGCGACUGUUAUGGUAUUAGCAACAGUGUGAAGGAUACAUACUUAACAUUAAUAAUUUUACACACACGCAAACACAUCUUAGUUGGAUAAACCUUGGAAAACCCUGUAAACCAAAGCUUUGCUUAAGCUGGCCUUCUGCCCCAAGGGCCCUGCCUUCACUGUGGUAGGAAUGUUGAUGGGCUUCUAUACAGAUGAGAUAACAUUUGGGAUAGACUUUGUUCUAAAGCUGUCCUCCAGAUGUCCAACAUCUAACCCUGCAUUAACUUUCUUUCAGGGUUUAAAAUAUAUUAAAAUGGUUGUAAUUUAUAUUCAUAUGUUUUAAAGGAAAAUAUUUAUAAAAUAUUAGUCAUAUCCCAAUCUGAAGAAUGUAAAACAAUUUACGUAUAAAAACAAAGAUUCUGUAACUGUCAGGAAGAAGAGUUUUCAGUGCCAACAUUGAUGUGUGUAUGUCUGACCGUUCUCCAAAAUGAAUAAGGGAAUCUUGAUUAUGAUGAUAGCAUUCCAUAAGGAAUACACUAGGUAUACUACAGUGUAUUGAUUGAAUUAACUUGUUUAUCUUUUAUUAAAUCAUGCAUAUUUUCUCCCCUCCCAGGAUGGACUUUUUUAGGACACUUCUAAUUUAUUUUUACACUUCCCUUUAUGUUUAAAUAUAGUAAACUGUCACGUACUAUUAGUCAAAGAAAUAAAUUUAUUCUUAUACUGAUACCAGGUUCCUUUUAUGUAUUUGUGUUAGGUUAAUAGAGACUCUGUGGACUUUAGAAUAUUCUAGAAGAGAUGACAAGCUAAAUCAUCCUUAAGAAAUUUCAUCAGCAUUUUCUUAAAAUUUUGUGCCCAGGUGGACUUCAUAAAAGUUCUCUACUUUCUCUUCCAACCAUGAAUUUAUGUUCACUCCAAAAUUUUUUCCCAUUUGCCAACUAGAUUUAAUUUGAUAAAUUAGUUUAAGCUUUUACAAAGCAGCUUUUAACAUUAUAUAUUAUAAAAAAUAUUAAAAUCUAUUCACAUUUGGGUUAACAAUUUAUCUUCUUGAUCUCUAUCCUAAAGAAAUCCCUAACAAGUCAAAUGUGUGAUUUACUUUUAUAAUUUUACCCUCAAUCCAGUUCUUCAUUAGGAUAUGCCAUCAAAUCAAUACCAGUAAUGUAGCUAUUAUCCUUAUUCCAGACAUUGCAUUAUAAUGAACAGAAAUGGCAUUACCUAUGUAGUAUAAGAUCUAAUUACAACAUGACAUGUCAGGGUCAGACUAACUUUAUAUAGCUUUGUCCAAUCAUCUGGAUGAAAAGCAGGCUCAUUUCCUCUUUAACUUAAAAUUUUGCUCCCUAUAAAAAGGCAAAUACUCCUAUAACAGUACUGCUUGAAAUUCUCAACCAUUUUUAUUUUGGUGUAAUAAAAAACAAGUCACCGUAUAUUUUUUAAAAGAAGAGACCACAAAGAUCAAUGGUUAAGAAAGGUAAGAGGCAGCGUAGAAAACUAAAAAGGACUUUGUGAGAGAAUCCUGUGGCCAAGGAUAAAUGUCAAAGACUACCUCUUGUCUCAGUUAUAGUUGUCAAGAUUAAACCACCAUGCUUAUUCUAGUGACCACACUCUACAAUAAGCUAGCAAGUUUAGUAGUAAUCUUUUCUAGGAGUAACAUAGGAGAUGCUUGUUAAUUAAAAUGCUAGAUUUCAGUGACUAGAAACCAAGAUGAAUAAAUGAAAAGUCAUGGUUCAGUAACUGUGCAGGAGCUAGAAGCAGAGUCCUGGUGUAUAUUAAUUGUGUGGCACAUAAAAUGGUUCCAAGGAACAGCUGUAGAGUAAUGGAAAGGGCUAUGAUGAAUAUAAUUCUGUUGGGAUGAAGCUCAGGUAUUGCAGGAACAAAUGCCAAUAUUUUUUCCAUACAGGGAUUAAUUACAUAGUCAACAGCUGGAAUUUACAAGGAAGCAUAUUAAAUAAAAUAGCAGGCAAGCUUGAACUGCAUUCCCACAAAAGCCAUAAAAUAGGAAUACCAAGAGAACUGGCAAAUGUAAUCUUUCACCUAUUUUUUUAAGGUACAGCUGUCCAUAUGCAGGUUGGGGAGAUGGAAAUUUGUGAGUAGCCAAUUGUGUGUCACAUUGGAAAGAUUCAAUAUAAAUAAUCUUAUGAAGGUAUUAAAACAACAACAACAAAAAAACAAAAACCUGUCCCUUUACAAUGGGAAUUGUCUCAAACGCACUUGAAUUUGAGUGGCGAUGACAUACUUGUUUUCCCGCCAUUUACCCAAAAGGGUAAAGGUAAAGGUGCCGUUACCCAAAAGGGUUCUUCCAUUUAUUCAUUGGCUGUGCGAGCUUGCUUUGUACAUGCUGCCUCCAAAAGCAUAGGAAAGCCAAUCAGUUCUCUUGGAACUUGGUAAGUUUCUGAAAAUGAAGUAUGGAAUCUUCAGAAAUGGAGAUCUAAUUUACAACAAUUUUAGCUGCAUAACCUGAUUGAGCAUAAUUUAAAAAUCUUUCAGCCCCUCUAAGAAUGAAAUCCAAACUCUUCACUGUUGCCUACAAAUCCUUGUGUGCUACGCCCCUGCCUCUCUUUGCAUCCUCAUUUCCUCACCCUCUCUCCUCUCACUACAGGGAGAUACACUGGCCUCCUGCCAGUUCUUCAAAAGACUCCUUCCAGCCUGGUGGAAUGUGGUCGCCUCUCCUGGAAUGCUGUUCCCCCUGCCCGUGGUAUGUCUGUCUCUUUUUUUAUCCAUUGGUUCUCAGCUUCCUCAAAGAGGUCUUUUCUGACUGCUCCUUACAAAUUAGGUCUCCUAAUUUCAUCAGAGUUCCAUCUUGGUUACCUCCAUAGAAUACAUCAUAAAUAAUAGUUAUUUGCUUACUUCUAGAAUAUCUCCCUAUCUGGACUACAACCAUAGUGAAGGUUGAAAGUGCCUUUUGAAUGCCUAAUACAGGGUCCAAACAUUCUACACUGCUUUUAAAAACUGGGUCAUAGAAUCUGGUUGUGAGAUAUGAUAAGCAUUUAAACAAUUCAAUAGAAUAGAAAAUAUCAGAACACAUUGCACAGGAUGAGAUAAGUACUUUUUAGUGAAAACAGUUUUCCUGAAAUCGGAGUAUAUGUGUGUGUGUGUGUGUGUGUGUGUGUGUGUGUGUGUCUGUCUGUCUGUCUGUCUGUCUGUCUGUCCUUAAGACUGUUCAGAGUAGGAAGAUGCUGAUAUGUCUUUUCAAAGGUACUAGAAAGUCUUUGCUCAAGAAGAGAAAGCCUGUGCUGGUUGCCAUCUGAACUUGCAUAAAGCUUCAUUCCUUUGCCUUACAGCGUUGUUUCCCUUUUCAUUGAAGAAGUUGUCGUAAGCAGCACUUAAAGACGUUUUGAUUUGCAUAUACAUUAAUAUUCUUAAGAUCCUUUCCCAGAAGGAGAUUUUGAUGGAAGGAAAGACUGAGGGAAGAACAUGGUGCCUUCAGGGAAAACAGUAACUUUUGGAAUGGGGAUAUAUUGUCAGCAGGGUUGAAAAAUGUAGAGAGUAAAGUAACAUGUCAUGUUAGGUCCGGCCAAGUAUUUGUCUACUUGACAAUUUGUAAAAAGCAGGGCCCUAAUGCUUCCUGUGGUCGGCCGGGAGAGUAGAGUGGUGGAAAGGAAACCAAAGUGUGUGUUUUAAUUUACUUUGUUAGAUGAACCAGUCUGCUGUGGUCUCAUUGGGCUGUAUUUGGUUAGGUCACUGGCUUCUAGUUUCCAGGUAGAAAAUGCAUCCCAUGUAUGAUAGUGAUAUUGAAACAUACUAGAAAAUUUCAGUUGAGCAUCCACUUUUGAAAUAGAGGAGAAUGGAGAAAAAUUUCCUCCUAUUCAGUAGUAUGGCUCGCUUUGGAGCCUUAAGAAUAUUUUUCUAACCCAACUUGGUUAAAUUUUAAAUAUUUCCAAAAUUUCUUACAGAUCAGGAAGAAAAAACAAAAUUAAAAAAUAAUUAAAAUUAAAGUAUGGUUGCUACAUUGGGAGCUCAGUAUAACUUCAUUUUCCUUUGGAGUUCAGCUUGCUGGGAGGAAAAUCUUUCUUCAAAUUCCACCCAAGCGACCAUCAUCCACACCCACUUUCUUUUUAAAGGAAAACAUUUACUUUUGUGACUUGCUCAUAAUGAAAUACAAAGGACCUCUUUGUGUGUGAAAAUGAAACUGGGUGUAAGCCUUUUAAGGAAAAAUUAAAGAAGGAUGUGCAUGUGGGGGGUGAAAUUCCCAAGUCUUGCUCAGCUGUUCUUGCCUACCUCCUACUUAGAAGCCAGGCUGCCCUGCACAGUCAGGGCCAGAUGUUGUGUAUGAGGGAGCAAAACAGCACCUCCAGUAGCUCACAGAUGAUGUGUGCAAACAAUGCAAGGCUAAGACUGUUCACAGUGCUAGGUGACAGGGCCUUGUCCAGAGCGAAUCUCAGCCAGGCAGUAUCUGAGAGAUGCUUUUUGCAAGACUGAUUUGUAUCGUCUUGGAGUUUUUGUGUCCUAUUUAGAUUAAGACACACUCUUUAGGUUCCUUUCCACCACUCUGCUCUCGAGCUGACCACAGGAAGCAUAAGGGUCCUGCUUUUGCAAAUUGUGAAGUAGACUAAUACUUGGAUCUAACUUGACCUCUUCCUUUCUACAUCCAAGCAGAAGGACAGCCUGCCGUUAAGAGUAAGGCAGAUGGGGAUAACCUAGCUGACAUAACUUAUUAUGUGAUUUGGGAAAAUUUGAGGCAGGAUUGGUGUACGUUGGGAAGACAAACCAAACACUGAAAAGAUUUAGAAAAGAAACAGCACCUUGAAGGCCAUUUCUGGAAUUGGCCAGGAGAUUCUUAGAAGCUUGGUCUCUGGCCAUUUCCCCAUUCUCUAUCCCCUCCAAUUCUUCAGCUUCCUCACCGUCAUCCCUGGUUAUUCCCAGUCCACUGGGUCUUUCUUCUCAGCCUGUAGAUCCUUGAGUCUAGACUGUACUGAAAUCAACAUUUGCUUUCCCCCACGGUCUUCUAACUUCUUUCUACUGGCAAAUUUCUUAAGCAAGUGGUUUAUACUCUGUCUCCAUUUGUGGAAAAGCCACUGUAAUACCAACCUUGGUAUCAAGAUUGUGCUACAGAAAUUUGCCAAAUAAAUCUUUUUGCCAAAAUUCAGGGGUCUUUUCUUAGCCUCAGGCUUUGUGUCCUCUCUGAAGCAUUUGAUACUAUCUCACGCUGUUUUGAAAAAAAUCAAUCCUCUUUUCUUUUCUUUUCUUUUCUUUUCUUUUCUUUUCUUUUCUUUUCUUUUCUUUUCUUUCUUUCUCUUUCUUUUUGUGAUAU
This 6400-nucleotide long non-coding RNA is filed under the name Sus scrofa (pig). RNAcentral describes it as "lncRNA (ENSSSCG00040075912.1)". Lineage: Eukaryota; Metazoa; Chordata; Mammalia; Artiodactyla; Suidae. The record is from RNAcentral.